GCUUACGGCCAUACCACCACAAUUGCGCCCGAUCUCGGAAGCAAAGCAGGGUCGGGCCUUGUUAGUACUUGGAUGGGAGACCGCCUGGGAAUACCAGGUGCUGUAAGCU
Molecule: ribosomal RNA, 109 nt
Filed under: Sinocyclocheilus rhinocerous
Lineage: Eukaryota; Metazoa; Chordata; Actinopteri; Cypriniformes; Cyprinidae
Source: RNAcentral